RNAcentral lists this unclassified non-coding RNA (154 nucleotides) under sea anemone metagenome. Its description in RNAcentral is "partial contains small subunit ribosomal RNA and internal transcribed spacer 1". It matches the Rfam family "Eukaryotic small subunit ribosomal RNA", at positions 1678 to 1825 of the family's 1831-position model. The record is from RNAcentral.
GCUACUACCGAUUGAAUGGUUUAGUGAGGACUCCUGAUUGGCGCCGCCGCCCCGGCAACGGAGCAGCGGACCGCCGAAAAGUUGUUCAAACUUGAUCAUUUAGAGGAAGUAAAAGUCGUAACAAGGUUUCCGUAGGUGAACCUGCAGAAGGACA